Molecule: ribosomal RNA, 429 nt
Filed under: Fusobacteriota bacterium
Lineage: Bacteria; Fusobacteriati; Fusobacteriota
Description: Fusobacteria bacterium partial 16S ribosomal RNA
Rfam family: Bacterial small subunit ribosomal RNA
Source: RNAcentral
UGGGGAAUAUUGCACAAUGGGCGCAAGCCUGCUGCAGCCAUGCCGCGUGUAUGAAGAAGGCCUUCGGGUUGUAAAGUACUUUCAGCGGGGAGGAAGGGAGUAAAGUUAAUACCUUUGCUCAUUGACGUUACCCGCAGAAGAAGCACCGGCUAACUCCGUGCCAGCAGCCGCGGUAAUACGGAGGGUGCAAGCGUUAAUCGGAAUUACUGGGCGUAAAGCGCACGCAGGCGGUUUGUUAAGUCAGAUGUGAAAUCCCCGGGCUCAACCUGGGAACUGCAUCUGAUACUGGCAAGCUUGAGUCUCGUAGAGGGGGGUAGAAUUCCAGGUGUAGCGGUGAAAUGCGUAGAGAUCUGGAGGAAUACCGGUGGCGAAGGCGGCCCCCUGGACGAAGACUGACGCUCAGGUGCGAAAGCGUGGGGAGCAAACAGG